Molecule: long non-coding RNA, 512 nt
Filed under: Coturnix japonica (Japanese quail)
Lineage: Eukaryota; Metazoa; Chordata; Aves; Galliformes; Phasianidae
Description: lncRNA (ENSCJPG00005018235.1)
Source: RNAcentral
UACAUAUUCACUCAAUAAAACAAUUGAAGUAUUGCAAAGAAAAAAAACCAAACCACUGUUUGCCAUUGUAAUUUCCUUGGAAGAUUAUAUCACUCAAGGAAUAUAAUUCUUUGUUAUUUAAAUCUGGUUUAUAACUAUCACUGCUUUCCUUUCCACAGAAUACAGUUUGACUUCACAGCCUGAAAACAACAAAAUAUCAUUUAUUUCUGUCUGUCGCUGUGCAGUCUCACUUGGACAUUAAAAUCUCUUCAAGUCUUUAAUUUUCCUAUUCCUUUCAAUCCCUCACUUCAAUAUUACAACAUUUGCAAAGACGGAGGAAUUACUGUAGCACUGGAUUCCCUUGACCUGCUGAAAGGAAAAGGAUGGCAACUCAAGCAGAAUAAGUAAGAGAAGAGUGUGACAACCUGCCAUUGCCUAAUGAAGCUGGGACAUUAAAGGUACUCAAUCAAGGUAUUUUAUGAGUACACCUGGAUUCUUUUUAUUAAAAAGGCAUUUAUCUAAUGAUGCAUAGC